This is an RNA transcript of Nannospalax galili (Upper Galilee mountains blind mole rat), 808 nucleotides long. It is a transcript of the gene named ferritin light chain 1 pseudogene, with no coding region annotated. Lineage: Eukaryota; Metazoa; Chordata; Mammalia; Rodentia; Spalacidae. The transcript has a single exon. The record is from RefSeq and is a predicted model, not a curated record.
CCAGUCACCGCGUCCGGGACCACCUCUCCAGCCAACACCGUCUCCUUGCGGUUAGCUCCACACUGCCCAUCAGGAUGACCUCUCAGAUCCGUCAGAAUUAUUCCACCGAGGUGGAGGCUGCAGUCAACUGCCUGGUCAACCUGCACCUGGUGGCCUCCUACACCUACCUCUCCCUGGGCUACUAUUUCGACUGGGAUGACAUGACUCUGGAGGGUGUGGGCCACUUCUUCCACGAGUUGGCCGAGGAGAAGCACUAGGGCAUGGAGUGGCUGCUCAAGUUGCAGAACCAGCGUGGCAGCCGCGCGCUCUUCCAGGAUGUGCAGAAACCAGCUCAGGAUGAGUGGGGUAAAACCCAGGAGGCCAUGGAAGCUGCCUUGGCCCUGGAGAAGAACCUGAACCAGGCCCUCCUGGAUCUUCAUGCCCUCGGUUCUGCCCGCACAGACCCCCAUGUAAGUACCUUGGUCAUCCUUGGUCCCUGUUUUUUAUUUUUAAUGAUUAAGUUUAUUCGAGACUGGAGAGCUGGCUCAGUGGUUAAGAGCAUUGGCUACUCUUGCAGAAAACCCGGGUUCCAAUCCCAGUACCUACAUGGCAACUAACAACCGUUUGUAACUCCAGUUCCAGAGAAAACCCUCUUCUGAUGACCUCCGUGGGUAUUGCACGACGUGGGUGCACUUGCGUGCAUGCAAGCAUUAACAUUGAUACGCAUAAAAAAUAAUUUCUGUAAAAAAGAUUUAUUCUUAUUUUAUGGGUCUGAGUGUUUGCCUUUGAUCCUGAGUGCAGGGAUUAAAUGUGCACCACCACCCAGGGC